UAUAGUAGUGUAUGUGAGAGAGUUUGAUUGAAACGGAAGGCAGUUUGAUUACUCAGCUCCUGAUUGGUUGACAAAGAAGAAGCGGUAUUUGACGGUCAAAUUCCGGCACUGUCAUUAUAAUAGUUUGGCUGAAGUGGAGCUGUAAUGGAUAGAGAGAGGCUAACUGAAGCUGUGGGUCUUCUAAAUAAUAAUUUAGGAAAUGGUGAGCUAUUGUCAACGAUGUCUCGACAAUUAAAUUAAGUCCAACAGAGCUCUGAUUCGGAGCUGCAGAGAUUAUUCAGGGGUGGAACUGCAAAUCCAGUCAGACCUGGCUCCAGGCUAGCACUGCUACUUCUAGCUAGCUCAAUGCAACGCGGAGGACCCCGUUACCAGACGAGACAGCAUUUCGGUGGAUCGUCGUCGAAAUCCAGGAAGAGAUUAUCUGGCCAAUGCUGGGUGUCUAAGGCCUUUGAAACGCAUAGAAGACAAAGAUCUCUUGGUGGAGGAUAUCAUCAUGUUUCAGCUGGUUCAUCGAGUUAGUGGAGCACUUUAAAGGUUCAGGGAGGGGAUGAAGACCCUUGGUGUUCUUGAUGCAAUAAGAAUGCACCCAGAUGCUUUCAGACUGCUGUUUUGUCACGAGCCAUCCCCACUCACAGCGGAUGUACUAGAACUGUCAGCAGUGGGCAGGAACAAAAGAAGGGCAGAGGAAUGUGUGCAUUUUGGAGGGACUACCUGCUGGAUGUUGAGGCGCAAGAGGGACCCUUGCAACAUGGGGGUAUCCUGGCCUUUGCGACGGGAGCAAACGAUAUUCCACCCCUGGUCUUCUCUCCACUACCUUCAGUGGUUUUUCUCCAUGAGCUGCCCCUCAGACAAGGCCGUCAUUUACCCACCGCAAACACAUGCAUUAACUGCCUGCGGUUGCCAGUCCUGAAAAAAUUCGAGGAUUUUAAGGAAACUAUGGAUUUUGCAUUAAAAACACUCAGGGAUUUGGUCAGGAAUGACUUCCAAGAACUCCUUAAUAUACAUUAUUAAAAUCUGUUGCCUGUUGAACUUGACUAAAUUGAAGAGGCAUCGUUGUCAAUAACUCACCAUUUCCUAAUACAUUAUUAAUGUCUUGUUUAAACAAUUGAAAAUGGAAUAAUCAUUUGACUGAAAAGGAAACUUGUCAAUGGCCUUUUAUUAACCUUUAUUAAUUGCCUUGACACUAAUGAAGUUGCUCACUGAUAGAGUUCACUAGGCUCAAAAAUAAUUGAAUGUCAUUGGCUAGUGGGUCUACAGUUUCUAGAAUUCUGUUCAUAACUGUUUAAUUGAAAAUAAAGUCAUUUUCUGGAACAACAA
Molecule: long non-coding RNA, 1317 nt
Organism: Perca fluviatilis (European perch)
Lineage: Eukaryota; Metazoa; Chordata; Actinopteri; Perciformes; Percidae
Exons: 4
Source: RefSeq, a predicted model, not a curated record